UAUUUAAUCAGAAAAGACUGA
This 21-nucleotide non-coding RNA is filed under the name Caenorhabditis elegans. Lineage: Eukaryota; Metazoa; Nematoda; Chromadorea; Rhabditida; Rhabditidae. The record is from RNAcentral.